Molecule: non-coding RNA, 287 nt
Filed under: Aurantiochytrium limacinum
Lineage: Eukaryota; Bigyra; Thraustochytrida; Thraustochytriidae
Source: RNAcentral
AAAGAAGAAAACGAAAAAAGAAAGAAAACGAGGAAAACUUUAAUUUUAAAAUAUAUAGAUAUUCUAAAGUACCUAUGUGAUACUGCUACGUUCUUCCGUUUUCUCCUGCUCAUAAUUUUAACUCAGCACACGUUCUUUCAAUUUUCAACUAACCUCCUUACGAAGACAGGUAGGAAGGUACCUAUCAUGUUCCUCUUCCCAUUUCGCACUAAGGAAUAGUAUAUUCAUUUUCAAGUCGAGUUCCUUCCUUGAGCACGAUAGAAUAGCUUUACAAAUAAAUAAAUAAA